RNAcentral lists this ribosomal RNA (468 nucleotides) under uncultured bacterium. Its description in RNAcentral is "partial 16S ribosomal RNA". It matches the Rfam family "Bacterial small subunit ribosomal RNA", at positions 28 to 507 of the family's 1533-position model. The record is from RNAcentral.
GACGAACGCUGGCGGCGUGCUUAACACAUGCCAGUCGAACGGAAAGGCCCUGCUUUUGUGGGGUGCUCGAGUGGCGAAGGGGUGAGUAACACGUGAGUAACCUGCCCUUGACUUUGGGAUAACUUCAGGAAACUGGGGCUAAUACCGGAUAGGAGCUCCUGCUGCAUGGUGGGGGUUGGAAAGUUUAGGCGGUUGGGGAUGGACUGGCGGCUUAUCAGCUUGUUGGUGGGGUAGUGGCUUACCAAGGCAUUGACGGGUAGCCGGCCUGGGAGGGUGGCCGGCCACAUUGGGCCUGAGGUACGGCCCAGACUCCUACGGGAGGCAGCAGUGGGGAAUAUUGCACAAUGGGCGGAAGCCUGAUGCAGCAACGCCGCGUGCGGGAUGACGGCCUGCGGGUUGUAAACCGCUUUCGCCUGUGACGAAGCGUGAGUGACGGUAAUGGGUAAAGAAGCACCGGCUAACUACGUG